CCUACGGGUGGCUGCAGUGAGGAAUAUUGGUCAAUGGACGAGAGUCUGAACCAGCCAAGUAGCGUGCAGGAUGACUGCCCUAUGGGUUGUAAACCUCUUUUAUAUGGGAAUAAAAUGUUCCACGUGUGGGAUUUUGUAUGUCCCAUAUGAAUAAGGCUCGGCUAACUACGUGCCAGCCGCCGCGGUAAUACGGAGGAUCCGAGCGUUAUCCGGAUUUAUUGGGUUUAAAGGGAGCGUAGGUGGAUUCUUAAGUCAGUUGUGAAAGUUUGCGGCUCAACCGUAAAAUUGCAGUUGAAACUGGCAGUCUUGAGUACAGUAGAGGUGGGCGGAAUUCGUGGUGUAGCGGUGAAAUGCUUAGAUAUCACGAAGAACUCCGAUUGCGAAGGCAGUUCACUGGACUGCAACUGACACUGAGGCUCGAAAGUGUGGGGAUCAAACAGGAUUAGAUACCCUGGUAGUC
RNAcentral lists this ribosomal RNA (460 nucleotides) under uncultured bacterium. RNAcentral's name for it is "partial 16S ribosomal RNA". It matches the Rfam family "Bacterial small subunit ribosomal RNA", at positions 338 to 795 of the family's 1533-position model. The record is from RNAcentral.